AACCUCUUGCCCAAAAUGAUUGACUUAAAGUUGUUUUAGUAGUUGGACUAGUAGUUAUUUAAAUCCUUUAACUAUCUUGUAUCCUACCAAUAUGGGAUAUUGCAAUAUAUCCCAUUUAAAUUUGUGAUAUACUCAUUGCAAUUUUGUGCUUUGCUAAUACUAUUGUGCUAGGUAUAAUUGCAAAAUUAGGAUUCAACUCUUGGGUGUUGUGAUUUACUGAUGUCUCAGGUGGCUCCAUCUAUUCUUUAGUCAUGAUUAGCCAUUUUUAGUAGGCCUAUCAGCUCCACACAAUUUUCUUACCUAAUUAAUUUUGAUAUCAAUCAUAACACUCCAAAAUCAACUGACCCAAAUAAUAUUCAGUUCAU
RNAcentral lists this unclassified non-coding RNA (365 nucleotides) under Hevea brasiliensis (rubber tree). Lineage: Eukaryota; Viridiplantae; Streptophyta; Magnoliopsida; Malpighiales; Euphorbiaceae. The record is from RNAcentral.